AUGGCAGUGUCUGCUGCUCAUCAAAGGCAGUGGUUCAGUCAAGCACUCAGUCAGGACUUUCCCACUGCACAGACUGAGGGGGAUCCAGUCUUCCCCACACUGCAAGAUUCUGGUGCAAAGCUGUUUUGCAUUUUCCACAGUAGCCCGGGUAGAAACUUGUUUGCAGUUAACCCAUGCAGGAUCUGCACUCCUGAGCAUCAGCAUGGAAAUCUUCAGGGUAACAACUCCCAGUUCCACCAGCCAGCCUCAGGAAUAGAAAUAGUGGUGUUUCCAGUUCUGGAGUGCAGAGAGAGGAAAGAAAUUGCUGUAUUCAUGGAAAAUAUUCAGCAGAAGAGUGAAAGCUCCUGCUUGGAAAUGCAGAAUGAUGCUCAGUCUUGGUGAUCCUGUCUGCCUGCAUCAGGUGGAUGUUGUGCACCACGGACCAUCCUAAGGGAAGUGAGAAGUGCAACAUGACAACACGAAGUGGCUCUUCCCCAACAUCACGCAAACUGCCUGUGACAGAGCUGGGAAACCUGACCCACAGCAUCCUAAUCCCAGGCCAGGACUGACAGCCCAUCUCCCGGUGUUGGAGGGCGGGCUGGGAAAAGCCAGAUCCCCGAUCAUCCCCAGUUUUCCUCCAGCGGCUGC
This 627-nucleotide long non-coding RNA is filed under the name Parus major (Great Tit). RNAcentral's name for it is "lncRNA (ENSPMJG00000016468.1)". Lineage: Eukaryota; Metazoa; Chordata; Aves; Passeriformes; Paridae. The record is from RNAcentral.